This 22-nucleotide microRNA is filed under the name Lytechinus variegatus (green sea urchin). Its description in RNAcentral is "lva-miR-2008-5p". The record is from miRBase by way of RNAcentral. RNAcentral also lists the same sequence under 1 other name. Lineage: Eukaryota; Metazoa; Echinodermata; Echinoidea; Temnopleuroida; Toxopneustidae.
GUAUUAACAAUGUGGCUGAUGA